GGUAAAAGUCAUAAAUGGAGAAACAAAAAUGGUCAAAAGUUGAACAACCCCAGACAUCUUAACCAUUGUUCAUCUACAAUAUGCAUUUCACUGUCCUCCACCCCCCUUCACUUGGUGCGCUCCAGAAGGUAUGAUAUUUGCAGAUGAAAAGACUGCCCCCCCGUCUUUUUCUUUUUCUCAGACCCCCCCCUUUUUUUCCUCUUUAUAAAGAUAAGGUGUUUUCCUAAUCAUUAUUUUCCCUUGUAAUAAAUACAUAACAAAGAGAAAAGUGAUUCUUUUUGUGUUAAGAGUGUAUGGUAUAAUAUUUUGUAAUGGUUCCUUUCACUCGUUUAUGAUGGUUGUGUAGGAGAGUUUAUCUGAAAGAUUUAGUUGACAAAGUCGCUUUCUAAUCCCUCACUCUCAUGGCGAAAGCGACUCUUCAUUUCCCCCUUUGUGUAUUUAUACACUCUCUCUCCGUAUUUAGUGCAACUCUCACCCUUUUCUCCCCCUAUAUUCCCCUCAAUUUAUUAAUUAUCUUAUCUCAUUUCCCUUUCCUCUUAAUUUUCUUUGUUUUUUCAUUCACCCAAACGCUCUUUAUCUUCUUCUUCUUCUUCCCCCCUUCCCUAUUUUUAUACUCAUAGUUCUAUUUAUUGCUGUUUAAGUGGGAACACUUGAAAUAAAAUGGGAAAAUGAAAACUUAACAUUAUUGGAGACUUAGGGUUUCACUUUUGAUUAUCUAGCAGAUUAGUACUUUCACAUUUUCUUCUAUUUAUUAUCUCUUAAGUUGUUAUUCAGAUUGAAUUUAACAUGAUUCUGAUUCUGAGCAGUUCCUUGUAUAUGUUGUUGUUGUUGUUCUUCUUCUUCUUCUUCUUAUUUUCUCUCUUUUGCUGUACUCAUUAAAAUGAUAAUUAGAGAUCUUUGACUUUUUGAUUGAUAUUUGCAAUUUUUCUUACUGAUUAUAGGGUUUGUGUUAAGAGUUGACUCUGCUUAGUUAGCAUUUUGUGUUUGUAUAGUGAACUUUUUCUAUAUUUGAAAGUUUUCCAGGGACUUUGCUAUUCUUCUUUAGUGCUUUACAGGUUGAUUAAUUUUUAUUUGUCAAAGAAGCAGCAGCUAUUAUGAGUAUCUUCUCAGGUUUCAGAUGUCAUAUGUGGUAUUAGUGGUGAUGACUUUGGUAUGCUAUCAACAAUGACCAAAAAAGUAUGUUUUAUGUGUUGAUCAAGAAUACAGUACAGAUCAACCUGCUUAGUUGCUGUGGAAGCUCCUUUUCCUCUGUUGAGAUAUGUUUGAAGUCACACAUAUCCCUUGCUCAAUUAAGGCUUCACGUUGUAGAUAGAUGCUUUACACGGCUCUUGCAAACUGAAACAGCUUACUUGAACUAUCUGUUUUGGGGAAUAAGUAUAUACGAACGCAUAUAUAGUUAAUUUUGUAAAUGCUUAUUCAGCCAAAAAAGAAAGUACAUAUAGUAUCACUAGUAUAUCAGUUCUUCAAAUUGAGGUGGAAGUGUUUCUUGGCUUUAGAAUUUUCAAAUAUAUUUGCAUGGCUCUUUCACAGAAUGAAGACAGCAAAACGUGAUGAGCACCAUGUUUUUCUCCCUUUUUCUAGGGCAAGCAUGUAAGGAGGAUGACCUCAUUGAAAUGCUUUGGCUCAAUUUUUAUAUGCAAGUAGUAAGUGGAAAGUACAAGUUUUAUGUUAUAUUUACAUUAAUGAAAUGCUUUAGUCCCUUUCCUUCAACACUUAGUACAAUAAUAUUAAUUUAUUUGUAACUAGGUCAUGCUAUACAAUGUGACAGGGUUAAGUGAUAUAGACUUGUGCCAAUUGAUUUUGCCAAUUAUGGAGGGGGGGACCUCAUGGUUUAAAUCCUGAUUUAGAAAAUCAGCUUUAGUUUGAGAUAAUUUUCCAUCAUUAUAUAUAGUGUUUUAUAAGGUUGUGUCUGGCAUUAUUUGUCUAGGAAGUACCAAUAGAUUCUGUGUGUAGGGUGGUCCCCUGCCCUUUUUACAUGCAAUCUUCAUGCCUUCAUUUACUUUGUUUUGUAUGCAUUCUAAAACUUAUUCUCCAUUAAAUAUGAUGCAUUAUUGAUCAAUCCUGUUCCCAGAGGAAGCCAAGCCUAUUAGGUGUUCUUAAAUUAAUUAACAUUAAUUAAUUAUAUUGUAUUUGGUGAUGAUUCAUUUCCCUAUCAUCAUACUUACUUGGAAGAAGAAAUGUGAGGAACUGAGCACACAAAAGAUAUGGAGAUGGCUGCAGUUAAUGGUGGCAUUCUUUUGAUUUCUUAUGUCCCUGUUUAAUGAUGUCAUUAGCAACAACAAUUUUUUUUAAUAUUUAUUUUUAUUUUUUAUGUUUGUAAAAAGAUUACAGGUUGCCUGAAGAAUUUUGUGGCUAAUCUUGAGAAUGGUAUUCCAUUGGGUGUCUGCUUCAUUGAUUGGUGAAGGUGAAGGUUCAAGUAAGGUUGAGUGGUCCCUCUCUCCAACUCUACUCCGACCCCCAUGUUCUCACCCUGCACUAACUUCAAUGCAAAAUAAAAUCAUUUUCCUAUAAAA
Molecule: long non-coding RNA, 2513 nt
Organism: Capsicum annuum
Lineage: Eukaryota; Viridiplantae; Streptophyta; Magnoliopsida; Solanales; Solanaceae
Exons: 2
Source: RefSeq, a predicted model, not a curated record